UACGGAGGAUGCGAGCGUUAUCCGGAUUUAUUGGGUUUAAAGGGUGCGUAGGCGGGUUAUCAAGUCAGCGGUAAAAUCGUGGAGCUCAACUCCAUCCAGCCGUUGAAACUGGCAGUCUCGAGUUGGAGAGAAGUAAGCGGAAUGCGUGGUGUAGCGGUGAAAUGCAUAGAUAUCACGCAGAACGCCGAUUGCGAAGGCAGCUUACCGGCGCGCAACUGACGCUCAUGCACGAAAGCGUGGGUAUCGAACAGG
Molecule: ribosomal RNA, 252 nt
Filed under: uncultured Bacteroidales bacterium
Lineage: Bacteria; Pseudomonadati; Bacteroidota; Bacteroidia; Bacteroidales
Description: partial 16S ribosomal RNA
Rfam family: Bacterial small subunit ribosomal RNA
Source: RNAcentral